CUCCAAAGCCACAGAACCCCGCCCCCCCAAAUAAAAUAAAUAAGCUGUAUGUUUCAACAUGUUCCUUUAUAGUGUUUUUAAAAUUUCCAUGUUCUUUCAAAUGGAGUGGAGAAAAGAAACAAUUAACAGACUUCAGGCAUUAUGCAUGAAAGGAAAUGCUCUGGCGAACCCCUGACUCUGUUUUCAUCCACUUGUUAGAAGGAUCAAACCCAUGCCUCAUUCAAGUCUUCAGGGUACUCGGAG
Molecule: long non-coding RNA, 243 nt
Filed under: Cricetulus griseus (Chinese hamster)
Lineage: Eukaryota; Metazoa; Chordata; Mammalia; Rodentia; Cricetidae
Description: lncRNA (ENSCGRG00000024424.1)
Source: RNAcentral